Quercus lobata is the source of this 603-nucleotide long non-coding RNA. RefSeq lists it as uncharacterized. Lineage: Eukaryota; Viridiplantae; Streptophyta; Magnoliopsida; Fagales; Fagaceae. The transcript is spliced from 2 exons. The record is from RefSeq and is a predicted model, not a curated record.
AUACCACCAUCCCCUUGUCAUCUUUUAUUGCAAAUUGUGAUUCGAAUUCCUCUACCACAGUGGUAGAAAUCUGCUAUAAAAAGAGUAUGUUUGGGAGGAGAUAGUACUCAAGAGUCCACCAAGUUUUACAAGCUUUCACUUAAAUUAUAUUCCAUUUGUGUUAAGAGUCUCCGGAAAAAUGGCUUCAGUGAAGUCUGAAAAACCUGCUGGCACACAACUGUUUGGGCAGGUCAAGAAGGAGCCUGCCAAGUCUACUGAUAAUGCAGCCAAAGCUCCAGCAUCCAAGUCGGGUGCAAAGAAGGCCGCACAAAAGCCUCAGGAACCUAAGAAGAAGGGAAAAGGAGGCAAAUCAGCAUCAAAGCACUAAUCAAAAGUGCUCAAUGCUAUGAUGUCUGACAAAAGCAACUACAAGAAGAUCAAAGUUAAAUUUGUGUAAUGCUCUUUAUGGUUUGGUUAAUUUGUGUAACCAUAGGAAGUUGAUAUCUAUGUAAGUCAGCUAGUUAGGAUUGGCCUAAUGUAAUAACAACGAUCUUCUUGGCAUAUGUACUUUUGUUUGUAAACAAUGCUGCUUUUUUUAAAUAACAUGAUAUAUAGUUUGAUCAA